UACGUAGGGUGCGAGCGUUAAUCGGAAUUACUGGGCGUAAAGCGUGCGCAGGCGGUUCGCCAAGUCAGGUGUGAAAUCCCCGGGCUUAACCUGGGAAUUGCGCUUGAAACUAGCGGGCUUGAGUGUGGCAGAGGGGGGUGGAAUUCCACGUGUAGCAGUGAAAUGCGUAGAGAUGUGGAGGGACACCGAUGGCGAAGGCAGCCCCCUGGGUCAACACUGACGCUCAUGCACGAAAGCGUGGGGAGCAAACAGG
RNAcentral lists this ribosomal RNA (253 nucleotides) under uncultured bacterium. Its description in RNAcentral is "partial 16S ribosomal RNA". It matches the Rfam family "Bacterial small subunit ribosomal RNA", at positions 524 to 776 of the family's 1533-position model. The record is from RNAcentral.